UACGAAGGGGGCUAGCGUUGCUCGGAAUCACUGGGCGUAAAGGGCGCGUAGGCGGCGUUUUAAGUCGGGGGUGAAAGCCUGUGGCUCAACCACAGAAUGGCCUUCGAUACUGGGGCGCUUGAGUAUGGUAGAGGUUGGUGGAACUGCGAGUGUAGAGGUGAAAUUCGUAGAUAUUCGCAAGAACACCAGUGGCGAAGGCGGCUCACUGGCCCGAUACUGACGCUGAGGCACGAAAGCGUGGGGAGCAAACAGG
Molecule: ribosomal RNA, 253 nt
Filed under: uncultured bacterium
Lineage: Bacteria
Description: partial 16S ribosomal RNA
Rfam family: Bacterial small subunit ribosomal RNA
Source: RNAcentral